RNAcentral lists this long non-coding RNA (469 nucleotides) under Phaseolus vulgaris (common bean). RNAcentral describes it as "long non-coding RNA (PVUL_LNC004729)". Lineage: Eukaryota; Viridiplantae; Streptophyta; Magnoliopsida; Fabales; Fabaceae. The record is from RNAcentral.
UCUCUUUGGCAGGAAAUGGAUAUUUAACUAUGAUUUCUCGCGUCAGGAACGUCAAUAGCAAGCCCUUCAGUUUCUCCUUUGCGUACCAUACUUAUUACUCUGUCUCUGAUAUCAGGUCCGUAACUAAAUGCGAUCUUCACAACAUACCUUUGACAUAAAAGAUUAGAAUGUUGAAUAAAAGAUAAAGUGAAUUUCACAUCAAUUUCUUAUGGUAAUUUUCUACUAUUUGCAAUAUUUGAGUAAGCACGUUAAUCUAAAAAUCUCUUACUUACUACUAUUGGCAGUGAAGUGAGGGUGGAAGGAUUAGAAACUCUUGAUUACCUGGACAACUUGCACAACCAAAAACGCUUCACAGAACAAGGAGAUGCUUUGACAUUUGAAUCAGAGGUGAGACAACCGAGUACAUGUUUCUUUUUUGAUAUUUCUCUAGGAUUCCCUUUUUUUUGUAAUCAAUGUCGGCUACUCUUUU